AUGCGUGGUGGAGCUGUGGCAGCACUCUGUCGAGACGAGAAUGGCAUCUACCUGGGUUCCUCGGCGGUGGUCUACGGGGGCCUCAUUAACCCCAUGAUCUUAGAAAAUUUUGCUUGCAGAGAGGGACUAGCUUUGGCAGAUGAUCUUGAUGCUCAUGACGUGGUGAUGGCUUCUGAUUGUGAGGGAGUAGUCAACGACAUCAACAGGGGAACAAGUGGUCCGAAUUUAGCUAUCACACAUGAAAUAACAGCUCGCAGCUCUAGUUUUUCUUCUUGCAAGUUUAUUUUUGAACGUAGAAACUUCAAUUUUGAGGCUCACAAUCUCGCAAAGUAUGCAUGUAAUCUAGGCAUAGGAAGACAUGUGUGGUUGGGCAAUCCUCAUGACACAACUAUUGUACCUAUAAACAUUACUCUGAAUCAAUAA
This 423-nucleotide ribosomal RNA is filed under the name Triticum aestivum (bread wheat). RNAcentral's name for it is "partial small subunit ribosomal RNA". Lineage: Eukaryota; Viridiplantae; Streptophyta; Magnoliopsida; Poales; Poaceae. The record is from RNAcentral.